AUGCUUCAUAGCCCUUAGCUAUGAAGUCCAUAGCUAUCUGGCAAGCUUGGAGUAAAAGCCUAUAGCUUUUACUAUUCAAUUUAAUUUCUUUUUAUUCAGAGUAUGUAUUUCAAUUUAUCAUUAACUGCUGGAUGAAAAGACAGACAAGGAAUGCUUGAAUUUCUGGACUACCAAGAGGUCCACAAAGACAGAUUCCUGUUAUGUGCAUUAUUGGUAUGCUGGACAACCUUUGGAAGGUCAGUAUACCAUAAAACUGUAGUAAAUUACUUCAGUCAAUAACAAAAAUACAAUGAAUGCCAAACUAGGGACUCUA
Molecule: long non-coding RNA, 313 nt
Filed under: Lepidothrix coronata (blue-crowned manakin)
Lineage: Eukaryota; Metazoa; Chordata; Aves; Passeriformes; Pipridae
Description: lncRNA (ENSLCOG00000010393.1)
Source: RNAcentral